CCAGGUGACUUGUUGCGACUUGAGUCAGAGGGAGGGGCGGGUGAGCGAGCCCUUCCCUGAACUAGUCCUGCCGCACAGGCGGCUCGGGCCUCUGCACUUCCGGGGGCCACGGGGGGCGGGGAAAGGGGCUCCCCGCGGAGGAACCCCAGAAGAAGGCGACCGGGUCGGGCCUUCACGGCCUCGAGGGCCCCCCUGCCCCAUGCUGAGCCGCCCGCCCCCCGGAUUCCUGCUCCGCGCAGGGCCCCGACGUGGGCUGAGGCCCCGGCGCGUGGGGAGCACCAGCCAGAAACCUACAUGCGGCCAAGGAGGGUCCCUGCUCCCCGUUCGCUGAAGUGGGGUCAAGGUCAGAUCAGGACCGCAGUGGGCAGUUCUGGAGCAGUGAUGAUGACGGUAAAGGAUGUUCCAGCACCACGUAUCAGGACGGCUGUCACAGCCGCCCUGUGGUAUGACACCCCCGUGGCAUCGACUAACGGCAAAUCACGGGUACUGCCAGGUGGCAACGCUAAAUUUCAGUGAAGACUGGUGAAAAAGAAACCCUUCCCAUCGGAGGACACGGCCCUCUGACUUCUGUCCACAGAUGCCUGGGUGCCCGUGGACUCAGGCAAGAAUCCCGCCCUCAGGUGACCCCCAUCUCUGAGGCCAGGGAGAGAAGCACAGAGGACCGAUCAGCGCGCUGACCCCCUGGAAUCCUCAGAGACCCCUUGUUCCCUCAAAUUCACACGCACUUCCCGGCCCGGCGGGACCUGAGGCUUGGAGUGGCACUGGACCACCAGCUCGCCCAAGAACCGCAGAGCCGUGGUCUCCCUGGCUGCCAUGCCCUUCGAUUCAAAAUAUCCAGGGAGAGGUGGGCCUUCCAGAGGCCUGCAGAGAACGUGGGGUUCACACCCGGCUCCCGCCAGUGCCCCACGUCCCAAACCCUGCAGUGUCAUCACCGAGACCACCAGUGGGUGAGGAACUGGGGUUUCCUCACAUACUUGGAAUCUGAUCUUUGAAAGAAGGAGAAAAGCUGCAUCUCUUUAGGGUUUUCAUUUCCUAAGGAAAACUCCUGAAUCAGAAAACUCUUCCACCUCCUGCAUCCAUCACUCUCCACUAUUUUUUUAAAGUUCCUCCUUUGAGUUUCUUGUGACACACGAGAUUGAAGUGAAAACAAGGGCCCGGUCUGACCACCUCCACAUCCCCACCAGCACCCAGCAAAGAACCGUCUCGGGCACUCCUAAAAUUUCACUGAGACAAUUAAGGAGCCGAUGGUCAGCCGCUCGAGCCAGAACGGUGAGAAGAGAAAGGAGGGAACCGGCCCGGGACGCUGCAGGCGAAGGGGAUGGGAGACGGUUCCCGAAACUGUUUUCUUCGCCCGCUCCUCCCUCCCCACUGGGAAAGGUGCUCGCCCCCGGCGAGCGGGCCGGGGCAGGGACUCCACGACGGCCUGGAAUGCGCCCUGGAAUCAGACCUCCAGGCUGGCCUCAAAAAGCCCCUUUGUCCGGUCCACCCUGCUCCCCUCCCCCACCGCGCCCUCCGCGUCCAGGCGGCCCGAGGCUCGGCUCCUUUUGUCUGGCUUCCCGGAACCUGCCCGGGGAUCCGCAGGCGCGGGGAAGGUCGCCGGAGAAAGGUCGAGGCGGCGGAAACGCGCGCUGUCGGUUCCGGGGGCGCUUGCCGAGCACCUACUAGCGCCCGGCCCGGCGGCUCAGAGGUCAGGGGCCGCGGGGAUCCCCAAGCUCCACGAGCGGCCACUCGACUGGAGGGUCAGAGAAGGAAGGCCAGCAGCACCCGGGCGGGGGCCCCGCCGAGGACCGCACAGCCUGCCCGCGGAGGCCGUGCCGGGGGGACGGGGGGUCGGGCACGAGAAGGAGCCCCGGGCAGCAGCGGCGGGUGCACAAAAGCAGAAUGGCAGAGGGGCUCCGGAGGCUCUAGGAGCUGAGGGGACUUGGGGUGUGGGAUGAGGAGGGACAAGGGGCCGGCAGGGAGCAAGGCCGCUCCGUGUGGUUGUCCAGGUUGUGCACCGAACUAAGCGGGACCGCUCACCCGGGCUCCACCCACCAAACCGUGGGCCUUGGCCAGAGGCACAUCUGCCGGGAGGCGGUGGCUUUUUCCAAUUUGUACAGAGGCUCUAGGUGAGCUAAGCUGGCUGAAGAGUCAUGUGGGCUGACUCAGGAUUGAAGAUUUUUAUCUUGAAAUUGAAGAAGAGCUCCAAGGAAACAGAACCCAUAGGAGAUCCCCCGUCUCUCCCUCUGUGUGUGUGUGUGUGUGUGUGUGUACAGACAUACAGAGGGAGAGGCAUUGGUCCGUGCUGUUUGGAAGGCUGACAGAUCCACAACCUGCAGGGUGGGGCUGGCAGGCUGGAGACCAGGAAGCAGUUGCAGUCAGAGCCCAGAGGCCAUCUGCUUGCAGAGCUGCCUCUCUAUUAAAGUCAGUCUCUCUGCGAUUCGGGCCUUCACCUGCUGGGGUGCGACCCACCCACGUGUGGCUGGUCACCGGCCUCACUCCGUCUACUGUUUAUUUCAAUGUUAAUCUCUUCUAAGAAAAUACCUUCGCACUAACAUCUGGAAUAACGUUUGACCAAAUAUCCGGGUACCACGGCCUAGCCAAGUUGACACAUAACAUUAGCCGUCACACUGCUAAAGAGUGGCCACCUGAGGCCAAGCUGGGCACGCCCACAUUCCAGUCACUUGGGUGUGUGAGCACUGGGUGUGAAACACGGGAGCCGUGCAGAGCCUGUAUCCAGACAAGGGGUGAAUUCGCAUUGUGGCAUUGCGGGGAAGGGAAUGGGGGAAGCCAAAAGCUAUGCGGGAGCAAGACCUGGCCUGACUCUGGAAGGGACUGACUAAAGACUUGGCAGAAAGAAAGGGGAGGAGCCGGGGGUUCCGGGGUUCCUGGCAUGAGUUGAGGGUAAGGUGUGUUCAUGUCAGGCUAUGAGUGAUAACAUCCCGAGAGCAGCCUGGCUGCAGGAAGGGCUUGGGAGCCACCGCAGCGCCGCAGCUACAGGACCUGGUGACAUCACCUGGGAAGGGUGCGCAGGAUGGGAAAGGAGGGGUGGGGGGCAAGGGGAGGAAAUUCUGGGAACACUUCAGGGGUGCACAGGUGGUAAAGUACCUCUGAAGGUAAACACUGUUAUUAUUACUCAGGCGACGGGACAACUUGUUGAAAUGUUGCUUUGCAGCCCCGCCCCUCCCAGCCACCCCUGCCUUUUCUCCGGGUGGGAGGCAGUGGCUUCCCAAAGGUCUUAGCCCUGAGCCCGCUGAGACAAUGCUGGGGUCCCACAGAGCAAGGCAGGGAUGUGGCUCUUGAGGACCCGGACAGAGAAGGGAGAUAGUCUGGGAGCUUGAAAGAAGAUGCCCUGUGCAGCGAGGACCUCGGGAGGUGAUGAGACCUCAGCAGGGAUGGGGGUUGGCAUGCAGGGCCCCAGAUUUCUGGCCUCGACAGAUUCUUUCACCGCACACGUGCAGGGGGCAGAGCCCUGGCUACAAGAGACCCCCCGGGGGCCAGAGCAACUAGAUGGCAGUCCUCCCUCUACUUCCGAGCUCCGUUACGCCUUCAAGGACACUGCAUGAGAAAAUGGAAUUUUUUUGCCAUCCCAGCAGGCCCAGGACAGAAUCAAACUGAUUUAAAAGAAAUUAAGUCAUAUGUGUGUCUUGCAAACCUGAGUUUGCAGGUUGAGAUUUGUAGCAAUAGGGUUAUCUUCAUUUACAGAUAAGGAAACUGAGGCCCAGAGAAGCUCGAGCUGGGUUAAAGGCAUACAACCAGUAAGGGACUGAUGUGGUUCGGGGAGGCAGACCUUUCUGAUUCCAUAGUCCUAACCUGUGGCUGAAAAACUCCAGACAUGUGAAGGGACCAGACAGGCAGGAAGCAUAUCAGGGACAAGAGUUCCGGUCACUGCAACUCUCACCUGGCCUUGGUGUGUGUGGCGGGGGUGGGGGCAGGGGGGCGUAGGGAGGAUGGCGGCAGGGCUUGAUGGAGACCGUGGCACAUUCAAAACCUCAGGCUCUGUCUCGAGGGGGCCGUCACUGCCCAUGCGGUCACAAGAGAAAGGCAUCUAUUUUAAAGACAAAGCUGGAAAUCCACAUUUUCCAUGUGAAAUCAGAUUGGUACCCUUCGAUUAUCUUAUUAAAAAUUCAGAGGAGUCAAGCAAACCAUGUCUAUGUGCCUCGGGCUGAGGUGCUGCUGGGAACUGGUUUGGACAGGACGCCUGGAGCACCUGAGGAUGCUGGGCUUGGAAGUGGAAGCCAGGCCCUCAUUAGGGACCGAUGGGCUCAGACUGGGGGCGGGGGUGGGGUGGGGGGUGGGGUGCAGUUUGGGAGAGACCACCAAGCCCUGAUCAGCCUUCUCUGCUGCCCACUUUGGCUGAAAGGGCUGGGGCUCGCCUCCAUCAGCCAUCAGAGGGACUCUGGUGGCUGGACAGCAGCCUGUCUGCAUCCCAGUGGGGCGCCCCGUCCUCUCCCUGCUCUGGUCCCGCUGACUUGCCGCCAUUUGGCCUCAGGUCCAGCAGAGGAUGAGGCUCACCCUGCCUCCACCCCACCCCACCCCUGUGGCCCAGAGGGUGCCCUGUCGGUGCCCUGGGCCAGAAGCUCUUUGGAAACUCCAGGAUGACUCGGAGCCGAGGCCCUGCUUCCUCUCCUGACCGCAUCCUGCAGCUCACAGCGGGGGCAGGUGCAGGCACUGCCCGGCCCCUGUCUUUGUCGCCCGGAGCCAGAACCAUCCGGACGGCCGCAGGCUGAGUGCAUCUCGGAGAAGAAAAAGUUGGACUGUUUUCUUGUACAACCAGUGACCAUUAUCACCAUAAGUCCUUAACAUUUUGUCCAAACAUGGUCUUUUAAAAUCCGUCUGUCUGUAUCUGGAUCCGGUAAGGCCUGCAGGUUGCAUUCUGCUCUUUCAAUCUUGUGUGGGUGCCCUCCCCACCCUGAUUUUUUUUUAAUCAUGUCAGAGACUUUUUGAAAUCAGGCUGGUUGCCUCCAUGACGCGUUUUAUCUGCUGCCUCCUCACGUCUCACUGAACGUGCUCUGGACCCCACAUUUCCUGUAGCCUGGACGUUGGCAGCGAAGCCUUGACUGGGAUUCUGGCUUCUGUUUUGGGUGAGAAUCCCUUCCAGGUGGUGCCGGUGCUCUACCCCCUCCUCCCGCAGAGGCAGGUAAGCUCUGGUCGCUCCUCUUACAGCAACGAUGUGCAGCUGACCCGGGGUUCUGGGUUACGGCCACCCUCCACCGUCAGACUGUGUUUCUCCCUUGUCACCGCGAGAUAAUCUGUGAGGUGACAUGUCCAGCCCCCACCAGCUCCCAGCACGCGGUUUUAGUAUCUUUUUAUCUAACAAACACUCAUGAUUGUGGCCUGAGUCAGUUGUUUUAUUAGAGGUUGCAAAGCAAAUUUUCUGUGUCUAUUUAAAAUAGUUUUUUCUCUAAAAAAGCAAUAAACUUCACAUGAUGUGAGCAAUGGCUUUCUUAUUGAUCUGUCUUCCCAGUUUAGAUUGUGAUAUGUGAAACCCCCCAGAAGAUGUCCACACUGGUUUAUUAGAUUUUGCAAUAACCUCCCUGUUUAUACCACGUGCUGGGGAGCCCUCGGCAGGCUCUGCUUACGUGUCUUUCCUGGUAUAACGUCUGAGAGCACGGGGUAUGUGUGGAUCUCUCGAGCAGGACCCAGAGAGACAGUCUCCUACACGUCAAAAAAGCAUUUCUGAAGUGGGUGAUACAUGAAUUUUACUUGCACAACUGAUGUAAGUUUUCUGUCUUUCUUUGUUGCGGGCCUUCUUCGUAGCACUGGAUGGCAUGGUUGAGCUUGUGUGUAUGUGGAUGGUUUUGCCUUGACUUUAAUUUUUAAUGGAUGGAUAUAUGCUUCUAAUCUUUGAUGGGUGCAUUUUAUAAACUAUUUAAAAUAUAUUUAAAAAGCAAUAAACUAGACAAGUCUCUGGAGAACAGGCUGGGCCCCCAAUCAUGGGACUGUGGACUGUUUGGACUGACAGGGACCAGAGAGGUCCCCUCACCCAAGCCCACCCAGUGCUGGAGUCUUGCCUGCAGCUGCCAGACUGUCUGGCGCUGGCCACAGCGCCUCGGCAGAGCGCGGGCCGCGGGUGAGGCUCACAGGCCCUCUCACUGCAGGGAGCGCUCUGGCCUCUGCCGGACAGUCCCAGGCUGGAGGGACCCAACGUCGUGAGUCUACUCACAGGCUUUCACUGAACGGUCCCUGUGUUAACUGACACCCUGGAAAUCAGUGAUGUACAAAAGCGACUGAGUCACAGGACAGAAUGCUUUGUGUGAUUUUUAGUUUCAAGAGAAAAGGAAUAGGAAAUGAAAAA
Molecule: RNA transcript, 6277 nt
Organism: Hippopotamus amphibius kiboko
Lineage: Eukaryota; Metazoa; Chordata; Mammalia; Artiodactyla; Hippopotamidae
Gene name: serine/arginine repetitive matrix protein 3-like
Exons: 4
Source: RefSeq, a predicted model, not a curated record